RNAcentral lists this transfer RNA (73 nucleotides) under Tissierellia bacterium KA00581. It matches the Rfam family "tRNA". Rfam says of the family: Transfer RNA (tRNA) molecules are approximately 80 nucleotides in length. Lineage: Bacteria; Bacillati; Bacillota; Tissierellia. The record is from Rfam by way of RNAcentral.
GCACCUUUAGCUCAGUUGGUAGAGCACCUGACUCUUAAUCAGGGUGCCUAGGGUUCGAGUCCCUAAAGGUGCA